Ficedula albicollis (Collared flycatcher) is the source of this 501-nucleotide long non-coding RNA. RefSeq lists it as uncharacterized. The record is from RefSeq and is a predicted model, not a curated record. The transcript has 3 exons. NCBI's taxonomy places the organism in Eukaryota, Metazoa, Chordata, Aves, Passeriformes, Muscicapidae.
ACAGCUACAGGGAUCGCAUGUCCCAGACAGCCUGAAGUCCUCCGGCAGUCUGUCCUACCGGGAGCUUUCUUUGUGCGUGAGCAGCAAAACCUCAUCCAAGGAGAGGAAGCAGGAAUAAUUGCGUGGCCAGACGAGGAGAGAAAGCGACCUGUUUAACUUCCUAACAAAUUUGUGGCAUCUUAAUCAAUCUUCACAGGGAUGGAUUAUUGGGGUGUCUGAUCCCAUGGACAUGAAAACCGUGUGCAGAAGCAGCACCACUGUCCUUCUCCGAGUUAAACCCGUCCCAAACAGAAAGGAGGAGCAGAAAAGAAGUGGGGAAGGCUGGAGGCACCUCUGAAAGAUAUGACAAGAAAAUCGUGACUGGCCAUCAGCAUUUGGAGCUGUCACCAAGCCAACAUUAGCUCUCUGCUGCCUAACACCAGGCAGACCUGGAGAGACCCACUCUGACCCCUCCAGCAUUGCAGGGAAACCUGUCGUUUGCAAGAGGAUGUUCAUUCACAG